Molecule: small nucleolar RNA, 81 nt
Filed under: Lachancea mirantina
Lineage: Eukaryota; Fungi; Ascomycota; Saccharomycetes; Saccharomycetales; Saccharomycetaceae
Description: Small nucleolar RNA snR78
Rfam family: Small nucleolar RNA snR78
Source: Rfam by way of RNAcentral
UCCACUGAUGACUAGAUUGAAAUAUUACAAACUAGAGUUUCUGAAUCAUUUAUGAUUAGAAAAGCGAUCAUGUUCCUGAGG